RNAcentral lists this ribosomal RNA (764 nucleotides) under uncultured bacterium. RNAcentral describes it as "bacterial SSU rRNA". It matches the Rfam family "Bacterial small subunit ribosomal RNA", at positions 28 to 805 of the family's 1533-position model. The record is from RNAcentral.
GACGAACGCUGGCGGCGCGCCUAACACAUGCAAGUCGAACGAGCGAGAGAGAGCUUGCUUUCUCAAGCGAGUGGCGAACGGGUGAGUAACGCGUGAGGAACCUGCCUCAAAGAGGGGGACAACAGUUGGAAACGACUGCUAAUACCGCAUAAGCCCACGGGUCGGCAUCGACCAGAGGGAAAAGGAGCAAUCCGCUUUGAGAUGGCCUCGCGUCCGAUUAGCUAGUUGGUGAGGUAAUGGCCCACCAAGGCGACGAUCGGUAGCCGGACUGAGAGGUUGAACGGCCACAUUGGGACUGAGACACGGCCCAGACUCCUACGGGAGGCAACAGUGGGGAAUAUUGCACAAUGGGGGAAACCCUGAUGCAGCGACGCCGCGUGGAGGAAGAAGGUCUUCGGAUUGUAAACUCCUGUUGUUGAGGAAGAUAAUGACGGUACUCAACAAGGAAGUGACGGCUAACUACGUGCCAGCAGCCGCGGUAAAACGUAGGUCACAAGCGUUGUCCGGAAUUACUGGGUGUAAAGGGAGCGCAGGCGGGAAGACAAGUUGGAAGUGAAAUCUAUGGGCUCAACCCAUAAACUGCUUUCAAAACUGUUUUUCUUGAGUAGUGCAGAGGUAGGCGGAAUUCCCGGUGUAGCGGUGGAAUGCGUAGAUAUCGGGAGGAACACCAGUGGCGAAGGCGGCCUACUGGGCACCAACUGACGCUGAGGCUCGAAAGUGUGGGUAGCAAACAGGAUUAGAUACCCUGGUAGUCCACACCGUAA